Molecule: ribosomal RNA, 350 nt
Filed under: uncultured bacterium
Lineage: Bacteria
Description: bacterial SSU rRNA
Rfam family: Bacterial small subunit ribosomal RNA
Source: RNAcentral
UGAGGAAUAUUGGACAAUGGAGGAAACUCUGAUCCAGCCAUGCCGCGUGCAGGAUGACGGCCCUAUGGGUUGUAAACUGCUUUUAUGUAGGAAGAAACACUCUCACGUGUGAGAGCUUGACGGUACUACAAGAAUAAGGACCGGCUAACUCCGUGCCAGCAGCCGCGGUAAUACGGAGGGUCCAAGCGUUAUCCGGAAUCAUUGGGUUUAAAGGGUCCGUAGGCGGGCUAUUAAGUCAGAGGUGAAAGUUUGCAGCUCAACUGUAAAAUUGCCUUUGAAACUGGUGGUCUUGAAUUAUUAUGAAGUGGUUAGAAUAAGUAGUGUAGCGGUGAAAUGCAUAGAUAUUACUU